Molecule: long non-coding RNA, 1556 nt
Filed under: Anas zonorhyncha (Eastern spot-billed duck)
Lineage: Eukaryota; Metazoa; Chordata; Aves; Anseriformes; Anatidae
Description: lncRNA (ENSAZOG00000006733.1)
Source: RNAcentral
AUGUGUAAUAUCACCUGGUCAGUGCCUCUGGGUUUGUGGUGCCCAGGAUCGGCUCUCCCCUUGUUAAAAGGCUGGGGAAGGAGCGGCUUUGUCGCAGCCGGGAGGUGGCAGUGUGAGGUCUGGGAAAGCCCCAGUGCCAGUGCAGGGCUCAGGGCUGUGCCCGCUGCUCCCAGCACAAGCUGCAGGCUGCAGGCUGCUCGUGCCAGGCACCGGGAGGGGUCCUGGGGCAUCUCCCCCCUCCUGCAGCCUUGGCGAGCUCUGCUGCGCCCAGGCACCCUGAUGGAUGCCACGAUGCUGCUGGCAUCCAUCCCUCUCCGAGCCCUCCUGCCCUGCCUUCCCAGGGCCAUGUCUCCACGCUCUCCCCUUGCAGCCCGCAGGAAAACCAUGCGCUGCGAGCUGCUUUUGCCCUGCUUGGCAGAGGGCAGGCGCCUGCUGCGCCCCGGGGUGCUGCUGCUUCAUGGUGCUCUGCUCGGCUCCCUGCGUGCGGAGCCGUUUCUGAGCCCCAGGGCUGAGCUGUUCCUCUUGCAGCAGGUACAGCAGAGGCACUGCCAGCUCCUGAGCUCAGCCCGGGGGGCUCCACGUGGCUCCUGGAUCCUUCUCACCAGGCCUGCAGACCCUUUCCUCCCUUCCCAGCGCCACCUCCCUCCUGCCCAGCUCAAGCCGUUUGCUCCACUUGGGGUGAAUCUGCCUGGUCCUGGCUCCUCGCUGGGAUUUUCUCGGCAUGGAUCCCACGACUGCCAUCCCCAAACGGGUAACGCGGGCAGGGGCAGGAGCCUCGCCAUCCUCCUAGAUGCCCGCAGGAGCCCAGGGGCAGCCUGGAGCAGUGGAGACGAGGUGAAUGAGUUUGCCCAUCAGGCUGGCUGCAUGAUGCUGCCCUCCUGUCUGUGCUGUUCCCUCCUCUGCCUUUCCUGUGGCGAGGCUCCCGUGCCUGCAGGAGGGUGGCUGAGGGCGAGCAGAGGGCUCCCCAAAUCCUGGGAUGGUUUUCAGGAGCCUCAGCCAGCAGGCAAGGCAGUUCAUGCGGCACACAACAGGCCUUUUCUUUCUGGCUGUUGGUCCUGGCUCCCAGGGAGGGGUGAAAUGGCCUUGGGGCAGGUGGGCAACAGAAGCUCUCCAGAAUCCCAUUAAAACAUUUAACACCUGCUGAAUCGUGCCAUUGUCUGGGAGAUAAAGGGAAGGGAACAAAGCUGCUCUCCAUCUUCCCUGCCAGGGUGUCCGCGGGGCUCUGCUGUCCCACUGCAGGGGGGAGCCUGACUCCCCCACCAAGACCCACUCGGGGUGACCCCAUCUCCACUUGGGAACGGGCACAGUGCCGGGGGANNNNNNNNNNAUCACCUGGUCAGUGCCUCUGGGUUUGUGGUGCCCAGGAUCGGCUCUCCCCUUGUUAAAAGGCUGGGGAAGGAGCGGCUUUGUCGCAGCCGGGAGGUGGCAGUGUGAGGUCUGGGAAAGCCCCAGUGCCAGUGCAGGGCUCAGGGCUGUGCCCGCUGCUCCCAGCACAAGCUGCAGGCUGCAGGCUGCUCGUGCCAGGCACCGGGAGGGGUCCUGGGGCAUCUCCCCCC